GGGGGGGCAAGCGUUGUUCGGAAUUACUGGGCGUAAAGGGCGUGUAGGCGGUCCCGCAAGUCUUUCGUGAAAUCCCACAGCUCAACUGUGGAACUGCGAGGGAAACUGCAGGACUUGAGUCCGGGAGAGGAGAGUGGAAUUCCCAGUGUAGCGGUGAAAUGCGUAGAUAUUGGGAGGAACACCGGUGGCGAAGGCGGCUCUCUGGACCGGUACUGACGCUGAGGCGCGAAAGCUAGGGGAGCAAACGGGAUUAGAUACCCCGGGUAGUCCUAGCCUUAAGCGAUGAGCACUUGGUGUGGCGGGUAUCGACCCCCUGCCGUGCCGAAGCUAACGCAUUAAGUGCUCCGCCUGGGGGAGUACGGUCGCAAGGCUG
Molecule: ribosomal RNA, 373 nt
Filed under: uncultured organism
Description: partial 16S ribosomal RNA
Rfam family: Bacterial small subunit ribosomal RNA
Source: RNAcentral